Molecule: ribosomal RNA, 400 nt
Filed under: uncultured bacterium
Lineage: Bacteria
Description: bacterial SSU rRNA
Rfam family: Bacterial small subunit ribosomal RNA
Source: RNAcentral
UGGGGAAUAUUGGACAAUGGGCGAAAGCCUGAUCCAGCGACGCCGCGUGGAUGAUGAAGGCCUUAGGGUUGUAAAGUCCUUUCAGCAGGGAAGAUAAUGACGGUACCUGCAGAAGAAGCUCCGGCUAACUUCGUGCCAGCAGCCGCGGUAAUACGAAGGGAGCUAGCGUUACUCGGAAUUAUUGGGCGUAAAGCGUGCGUAGGCUGCUUUGUAAGUUGGAAGUGAAAGCCCAGGGCUCAACCCUGGAAUUGCUUUCAAAACUACAAGGCUAGAGUAUCAGAGAGGAUAGUGGAAUUCCUAGUGUAGAGGUGAAAUUCGUAGAUAUUAGGAGGAACACCGGUGGCGAAGGCGACUAUCUGGCUGAAUACUGACGCUGUUGCACGAAAGCGUGGGGAGCAAA